This 334-nucleotide unclassified non-coding RNA is filed under the name Bacillus sp. CECT 9360. RNAcentral's name for it is "cspA". It matches the Rfam family "cspA thermoregulator", at positions 108 to 428 of the family's 428-position model. Lineage: Bacteria; Bacillati; Bacillota; Bacilli; Caryophanales; Bacillaceae. The record is from RNAcentral.
AUAAGUUUGACUUUUCGUCUUGAUGAUCACUUUGGGCAAGGGUAGUAUUACAUUGUGCGUUUAACGCACUAGGAGGCAACAAAAAUGGAACAAGGUUCAGUAAAAUGGUUUAACGCAGAAAAAGGUUUUGGAUUUAUCGAACGUGAAAAUGGAGACGACGUAUUCGUACACUUCUCUGCUAUCCAAAGUGAAGGUUUUAAAUCAUUAGACGAAGGUCAAAAAGUAACAUUUGAAGUGGAACAAGGUCAACGCGGACCACAAGCUACAAAUGUAGAAAAAGCUUAAUCUUAAAUGAUAUAAAAAAACAGGCUCUUCUAAAGGGCCUGUUUUUUUU